RNAcentral lists this ribosomal RNA (253 nucleotides) under uncultured bacterium. RNAcentral's name for it is "partial 16S ribosomal RNA". It matches the Rfam family "Bacterial small subunit ribosomal RNA", at positions 524 to 776 of the family's 1533-position model. The record is from RNAcentral.
UACGUAGGGACCAAGCGUUGUUCGGAUUUACUGGGCGUAAAGGGCGCGUAGGCGGCUUACCAAGUCAGGCGUGAAAUUCCCGGGCUCAACCUGGGGGCUGCGCUUGAUACUGGUGAGCUUGAAUGCGGGAGAGGAUAGUGGAAUUCCCAGUGUAGAGGUGAAAUUCGUAGAUAUUGGGAAGAACACCGGUGGCGAAGGCGGCUAUCUGGCCCGUAAUUGACGCUGAGGCGCGAAAGCGUGGGGAGCAAACAGG